Hordeum vulgare subsp. vulgare (domesticated barley) is the source of this 136-nucleotide non-coding RNA. Lineage: Eukaryota; Viridiplantae; Streptophyta; Magnoliopsida; Poales; Poaceae. The record is from Rfam.
CAUGUACUCCCUUUGUCCCAAAAUUCUUGUCUUUAAUUUGUCUACAUAUGAAUGUAUACAGUCAUGUAUUAUUAUUUAGAUACAUCUAUUUUUAAAUAAAACUAAGACAAAAAUUUCAGGACGAAGAGAGUACUUG